RNAcentral lists this ribosomal RNA (587 nucleotides) under uncultured bacterium. RNAcentral's name for it is "bacterial SSU rRNA". It matches the Rfam family "Bacterial small subunit ribosomal RNA", at positions 338 to 916 of the family's 1533-position model. The record is from RNAcentral.
CCUACGGGAGGCAGCAGUGAGGAAUAUUGCGCAAUGGGGGAAACCCUGACGCAGCAACGCCGCGUGGGUGAAGAAGGCCUUCGGGUCGUAAAGCCCUUUCGGACGGGACGAACGCUCCGCGGUGACAACCCGCGGAGCCUGACGGUACCGUAAGAAGAAGCACCGGCUAACUCCGUGCCAGCAGCCGCGGUAAUACGGAGGGUGCAAGCGUUGUUCGGAAUUACUGGGCGUAAAGCGCGUGUAGGCGGCCUUGCAAGCCAGACGUGAAAGCCCCCGGCUUAACCGGGGAAGUGCGUCUGGAACUGCUCGGCUCGAGUACGGGAGAGGGAGGCGGAAUUCCCAGUGUAGAGGUGAAAUUCGUAGAUAUUGGGAGGAACACCGGUGGCGAAAGCGGCCUCCUGGACCGAUACUGACGCUGAGACGCGAAAGCGUGGGGAGCAAACAGGAUUAGAUACCCUGGUAGUCCACGCUGUAAACGAUGGGCACUAGGUGUGGGGGGUAUCCACUCCUCCCGUGCCGCAGCUAACGCAUUAAGUGCCCCGCCUGGGGAGUACGGCCGCAAGGUUAAAACUCAAAGGAAUUGACGG